AUUGAACGCUGGCGGCAUGCUUUACACAUGCAAGUCGAACGGUAACAGGUUAAGCUGACGAGUGGCGAACGGGUGAGUAAUGCAUCGGAACGUGCCCGAUCGUGGGGGAUAACACUUCGAAAGAAGUGCUAAUACCGCAUACGAUCUGAGGAUGAAAGCGGGGGACCGUAAGGCCUCGCGCGAUAGGAGCGGCCGAUGUCAGAUUAGGUAGUUGGUGGGGUAAAGGCUCACCAAGCCGACGAUCUGUAGCUGGGCUGAGAGGACGACCCGCCACACUGGGACUGAGACACGGCCCAGACUCCUACGGGAGGCAGCAGUGGGGAAUUUUGGACAAUGGGCGCAAGCCUGAUCCAGCAAUGCCGCGUGCAGGAAGAAGGCCUUCGGGUUGUAAACUGCUUUUGUACGGAGCGAAAAGGCUCCCUCUAAUACAGGGGGCUCAUGACGGUACCGUAAGAAUAAGCACCGGCUAACUACGUGCCAGCAGCCGCCGUAA
This 493-nucleotide ribosomal RNA is filed under the name uncultured bacterium. Its description in RNAcentral is "partial 16S ribosomal RNA". It matches the Rfam family "Bacterial small subunit ribosomal RNA", at positions 30 to 523 of the family's 1533-position model. The record is from RNAcentral.